UACAUACGUCCUGGUUCGACUGUACAUG
Molecule: small RNA, 28 nt
Filed under: Bombyx mori (domestic silkworm)
Lineage: Eukaryota; Metazoa; Arthropoda; Insecta; Lepidoptera; Bombycidae
Description: ovarian small RNA-5969
Source: RNAcentral